Oreochromis aureus is the source of this 1876-nucleotide long non-coding RNA. NCBI's taxonomy places the organism in Eukaryota, Metazoa, Chordata, Actinopteri, Cichliformes, Cichlidae. The record is from Ensembl.
UGGACACCCAGGAACUUGAAGCUGCUCACACGCUCCACAGCCGUCCCCUUAAUGUGGAUGGGUGGAUGUGGGUCAGCAUUCCUCCUGUAGUCCACGAUGAGCUCCUUGGUCUUCUCAGUGUUAAGCAGAGGCAUGGCAUGGUCGUUAGUGCUGAUCUGGGAUUUUCCCACACAGUCAAUGGAAUGGUCAGAAAAAGAGAAAAUAUCCAAUGACCAGUAAUUCUCAGGGUGAUAAUUCCUUGUUAAUGUCAAAGCUCAGAGGAACAACUGAGCCAAGGUAUUCAGAAAACCAUCUGUGAACAUAUAUAAUGUCAAAACUUGAAUCUGAUAGGUGACAACAGUAGAAGACCAUACCAGGUGUGUCAGGCUUCUGGGUGGCUGCUCUGGAUGUGUUACUCACCUUCUCUGCUAGGGUGGCGUCUGGACACCUGUGCCUUCCUGGAUCCUCACCCUCCUUCUACUCACCUGAUGCUGGUUCUGGCUGAUUGCCCCUGACGCCAUUUAAGGCCACAGUGGAGUGUUGGUCCUUGGUGGAUUGUUGUGCUAUUUUAAAGACCUACCUGGACCCCAGCCUGCCUUCCCUUGAAACCCUUUGGAUGAGCAAGAGUGUGAGUGAGGAACGGUAUGGACAUCUGGACUGAGUGUGUAUUUUUCACAAGCGGAUUGAAGAGGAAUGUGAGUGUGACUGUUCCCCAGCCCUGGACCUACCCCUGGAAUCCGUGGACCCCUUUUCUCCCUCUCACUGUACAUAUGUAAAUAUUCCACCACUUGAGUCCAGCCUAGUCACCAUGACAAGGUGCCACUUCUGUUAGCUAAGAACAGGAAACCGAGGCUACAGUUUGCAUGGGUUGACCAAAAUUGGACCCCAUAGAAGAUUGGACAAAUGUUGUCUGGUCUAAUGAGUCUAAAUUUCUGCUGUGACAUUGGGAUUAUGACCACAGUGUACCCAUCAGUUGAAUAUGAAUUCACUGUACUCAAAUGACCUCUACAGUCACCAGAUCUCAAACUAACAGAGCAACUUUUGGAUGUGGUGAUUUGCAUAAUGGAUGUGUAACCUACAAAUUUGCAGAAACUUCUCAUGUCAAUAAACCAAAGUCUCUGAGGAAUGUUUCCAGCACCUUGUUGAAUCUAUGAAUCCUGGUACUAGACAGGUGUAACAAAUAAAACAGAUGUCCUUAUGUCCUGUGAGUGAAUACAUACCUCUGGUAUAGUAGCAGCAUUUUUCAAAUUCAUGAUGAGACCUGUUGUCAAAGAACAUGUGAAUGAGACAGGUUGCUACACUGUUUUUCAUAAUGUUCUUUCUUUUUUACUAUAAACACGUCCACUCUCUUAUUUUCAGUCAGUCUGCACACAUGUUAGAUCCCCACCGCCACUUUGUGUUAGAAGCAAAGGUUUGCGUAUAAAUCAGUGGGCUGGGGUCUAGGUUUUACAGACAGGCUAGGAAGGUUGGAAGAUAAUGAGAGGUUAAAACAUUCUUUUAUAUGAUUUGUUGACAAAACGGAAAACAUGAAAAAAGAGGAGUUGGCUUUAUCGUCAUAGGGGUUGUAUGCCAGCAGCAUGACGAUGGAGUUCUAAACCUGUAACGUGUAGGGCAGACAUCGUGUUUCAGGUCACAUUUAUGAUAUUCACUACAGGACUUUAGAUGUGGUUGGGAGAAAUUUUCUCCCCAGGUCCAUUUCUUCUCUGUCAGUUUGGAUAAGCUUCGAAGCCGGGCUUUAGCAGUGAGGGCUCCCUGUUUUACACCAUCGUUUUUUCUUUUCUUCUCAUCAGAUAUCUCUUAACUCUUUUGCUGUCCUCCUUCAAGUCUUCUCCUGUCCUUCUCAGCUCUCUUUAGUCUUCUGUCAAAUUAAACUUUCAUGGAUCUUCCGGGAUUCUUA